AUUGAACGCUGGCGGCAGGCCUAACACAUGCAAGUCGGGCGAGCGGCGGACGGGUGAGCAAUGGAUGGGGAUCUGCGUGAUGGAGGGGGCUAACUACUGGAAACUGUAGCUAAUACCGCGUACCAUAGGAUGAGCCCACGUGGGAUUAGGUAGUUGGUGAGGUAACGGCUCACCAAGCCGACGAUCUCUAGCUGUUCUGAGAGGAUGACCAGCCACACUGGUACGGAGACACGGCCCAGACUCCUACGUGAGGCAGCAGUGGGGAAUAUUGCGCAAUGGGGGCAACCCUGACGCAGCCAUGCCGCGUGAAUGAAGAAGGCCUUCGGGUUGUAAAGUUCUUUCGGUAGCGAGGCGUUAACUACAGAAGAAGCACCGGCUAACUCCGUGCCAGCAGCCGCGGUAAUAC
RNAcentral lists this ribosomal RNA (406 nucleotides) under uncultured bacterium. RNAcentral describes it as "partial 16S ribosomal RNA". It matches the Rfam family "Bacterial small subunit ribosomal RNA", at positions 30 to 526 of the family's 1533-position model. The record is from RNAcentral.